CGACCGUGAAACAACACUCGUGAUCGUAGAUGACGUGAAUGACUUGCAUUUAUUUCGCUUUGAUGAUCAAGCACGUUAGCAGCUACUUACCGAGGUUUUUACCUUUGAAACCGUUCGCGCACCUUUGAACCAAUACGUCCGUAAAUUGAUGGUAAACUAAAAAUGUUGGAGGGAUUCACGUAUAAAAAAUGACAAUCAUUAGAUUUACACUACAUAUUUAUGAGUUAAUUAUGUAAGGAUUGAGAAAUGAGGAGGUUAUAGGUUGAAGUUUUUAAGAGUUUGAAAUUGGGAAAAUGAGAGACCACGUUUAUUUUGAGACAAUAUAUUUAUUUCUUAUUAAUAUGGAGUUUUCAACAAUAACAGUAUAAUAGUAGGCGUAACAAGAGAGACGAGGUAGGUUACGAGGAACCUAACCUAAUACCGUACGCCAACAAGUCACCGCCGUAACAGAAUGUCUGUGAUUUAUUAUACGACUACUUCGUGUAAUAUUCUACUUUAUGAUUUUACAAUACUUAUUUCGUUUCCUUAAAGUUGCAUUGCGUUUAAGUUAUAAUUUAUGCAACUUUAAUGCAACGUAAGUAGCAAUUGAUCUAUCAAAUUAAAGACCUUUUUAAAGUAAUGGUUAGUUCUUGAUAAGUAUUUAUGAGUUAGAUCUUAUUAGUUUUUACUCGUAUUAGCAAACCGAAAGGGUAGUACAGAAGUACCUAUAUUGAGCCUCAAGAAUUUUUUUAGCAUUGCAUUCUAUGCAGUUGAGAAGUUUACUAUUAAAUCUCCACAAUGUACAAAGUUCCAUUG
Bombus terrestris (buff-tailed bumblebee) is the source of this 795-nucleotide long non-coding RNA. RefSeq lists it as uncharacterized. The record is from RefSeq and is a predicted model, not a curated record. Lineage: Eukaryota; Metazoa; Arthropoda; Insecta; Hymenoptera; Apidae. The transcript is spliced from 2 exons.